This 859-nucleotide ribosomal RNA is filed under the name Bifidobacterium adolescentis. Its description in RNAcentral is "bacterial SSU rRNA". It matches the Rfam family "Bacterial small subunit ribosomal RNA", at positions 69 to 936 of the family's 1533-position model. The record is from RNAcentral. Lineage: Bacteria; Bacillati; Actinomycetota; Actinomycetes; Bifidobacteriales; Bifidobacteriaceae.
AUCCCAGGAGCUUGCUCCUGGGUGAGAGUGGCGAACGGGUGAGUAAUGCGUGACCGACCUGCCCCAUACACCGGAAUAGCUCCUGGAAACGGGUGGUAAUGCCGGAUGCUCCAGUUGGAUGCAUGUCCUUCUGGGAAAGAUUCAUCGGUAUGGGAUGGGGUCGCGUCCUAUCAGCUUGAUGGCGGGGUAACGGCCCACCAUGGCUUCGACGGGUAGCCGGCCUGAGAGGGCGACCGGCCACAUUGGGACUGAGAUACGGCCCAGACUCCUACGGGAGGCAGCAGUGGGGAAUAUUGCACAAUGGGCGCAAGCCUGAUGCAGCGACGCCGCGUGCGGGAUGACGGCCUUCGGGUUGUAAACCGCUUUUGACUGGGAGCAAGCCCUUCGGGGUGAGUGUACCUUUCGAAUAAGCACCGGCUAACUACGUGCCAGCAGCCGCGGUAAUACGUAGGGUGCAAGCGUUAUCCGGAAUUAUUGGGCGUAAAGGGCUCGUAGGCGGUUCGUCGCGUCCGGUGUGAAAGUCCAUCGCUUAACGGUGGAUCCGCGCCGGGUACGGGCGGGCUUGAGUGCGGUAGGGGAGACUGGAAUUCCCGGUGUAACGGUGGAAUGUGUAGAUAUCGGGAAGAACACCAAUGGCGAAGGCAGGUCUCUGGGCCGUCACUGACGCUGAGGAGCGAAAGCGUGGGGAGCGAACAGGAUUAGAUACCCUGGUAGUCCACGCCGUAAACGGUGGAUGCUGGAUGUGGGGANCAUUCCACGGUCUCCGUGUCGGANCCAACGCGUUAANCAUCCCGCCUGGGGAGUACGGCCGCAAGGCUAAAACUCAAAGAAAUUGACGGGGGCCNGCACAAGCGGCGGA